Molecule: ribosomal RNA, 253 nt
Filed under: uncultured bacterium
Lineage: Bacteria
Description: partial 16S ribosomal RNA
Rfam family: Bacterial small subunit ribosomal RNA
Source: RNAcentral
AACGUAGGUUCCGAGCGUUAUCCGGAUUUACUGGGCGUAAAGCGCGUUCAGGCGGUUUGGCAAGUCGGGCAUGAAAUCUCUCGGCUCAACCGGGAGAGGUUGUCCGAUACUGCUGGACUUGAGGGCAGUAGAGGGUGGUGGAAUUCCGGGUGUAGUGGUGAAAUGCGUAGAUAUCGGGAGGAACACCUGUGGCGAAAGCGGCUCACUGGACCACAACUGACGCUGAGGCGCGAAAGCUAGGGGAGCAAACAGG